CCCUUAGAUGUCCGAGGCCGCACGCGCGCUACAAUGGAUGAAUCAACGCGUCAUCCUGGCCCGAAAGGGUUGGGGAACCGCUGAACCUCAUCCGUGGUUGGGAUUGGGGUUUGUAAUUAUUCCCCAUGAACUAGGAAUUCCCAGUAAGCGCGAGUCAUAAGCUCGCGUUGAUUACGUCCCUGCCCUUUGUACACACCGCCCGUCGCUACUACCGAUUGGAUGGUUUAGUGAGAUCCUCGGAUUGGUCACGGCACGGUGGCAACACUGCGUCGGUGUGCCGAGAAGACGAUCAAACUUGAUCAUCUAGAGGAAGUAAAAGUCGUAACA
This 327-nucleotide ribosomal RNA is filed under the name uncultured eukaryote. RNAcentral's name for it is "partial 18S ribosomal RNA". It matches the Rfam family "Eukaryotic small subunit ribosomal RNA", at positions 1470 to 1796 of the family's 1831-position model. The record is from RNAcentral.